GGUGGCUCAGUGGUAGAGCACUUGCCUUGAACUCAUGAAGCCCUGGGUUCAAUUCCUCAGCACCA
Molecule: transfer RNA, 65 nt
Filed under: Dipodomys ordii (Ord's kangaroo rat)
Lineage: Eukaryota; Metazoa; Chordata; Mammalia; Rodentia; Heteromyidae
Rfam family: tRNA
About the family: Transfer RNA (tRNA) molecules are approximately 80 nucleotides in length. Their secondary structure includes four short double-helical elements and three loops (D, anti-codon, and T loops).
Source: Rfam by way of RNAcentral